This 253-nucleotide ribosomal RNA is filed under the name uncultured bacterium. RNAcentral's name for it is "partial 16S ribosomal RNA". It matches the Rfam family "Bacterial small subunit ribosomal RNA", at positions 524 to 776 of the family's 1533-position model. The record is from RNAcentral.
UACGGAGGGUGCAAGCGUUGUCCGGAAUCACUGGGCGUAAAGCGCACGUAGGCGGAUCUUUAAGUCAGGGGUGAAAUCCUGGAGCUCAACUCCAGAACUGCCUUUGAUACUGGGGAUCUCGAGUCCGGAAGAGGUGAGUGGAACUCCGAGUGUAGAGGUGAAAUUCGUAGAUAUUCGGAAGAACACCAGUGGCGAAGGCGGCUCACUGGUCCGGUACUGACGCUGAGGUGCGAAAGCGUGGGGAGCAAACUGG